UGGUGGGGUGACUUGUCUGCUUAAUUGCGAUAACGAACGAGACCUUAACCUGCUAAACAGCCCGCAUUGCUCCGGCAGUGCGCUGGCUUCUUAGAGGGACUUUCGGCUCAAGCCGAAGGAAGUUUGAGGCAAUAACA
Molecule: ribosomal RNA, 137 nt
Filed under: uncultured eukaryote
Lineage: Eukaryota
Description: partial 18S ribosomal RNA
Rfam family: Eukaryotic small subunit ribosomal RNA
Source: RNAcentral